RNAcentral lists this ribosomal RNA (471 nucleotides) under Yamadazyma membranifaciens. RNAcentral describes it as "eukaryotic LSU rRNA". It matches the Rfam family "Eukaryotic large subunit ribosomal RNA", at positions 119 to 628 of the family's 3401-position model. The record is from RNAcentral. Lineage: Eukaryota; Fungi; Ascomycota; Pichiomycetes; Serinales; Debaryomycetaceae.
AAUCUGGCACCUUCGGUGUCCGAGUUGUAAUUUGAAGAAGGUAUCUUUGGUUUUGGCUCUUGUCUAUGUUCCUUGGAACAGGACGUCACAGAGGGUGAGAAUCCCGUGCGAUGAGAUGCCCAAUUCCAUGUAAAGUUCCUUCGACGAGUCGAGUUGUUUGGGAAUGCAGCUCUAAGUGGGUGGUAAAUUCCAUCUAAAGCUAAAUAUUGGCGAGAGACCGAUAGCGAACAAGUACUGUGAAGGAAAGAUGAAAAGAACUUUGAAAAGAGAGUGAAAAAGUACGUGAAAUUGUUGAAAGGGAAGGGCUUGAGAUUAGACUUGGAAUUUUCCAUUUAUGGAGCUUUCCGGGCCAGCAUCAGUUUGGAUGGCAGGAUAAUUGCGUUGGAAAGUAGCACCACUUCGGUGGUGUGUUAUAGACUUCGUCGAUACUGCCUAUCUAGACUGAGGACCGCGUCUUUGACUAGGAUGCUG